This 330-nucleotide ribosomal RNA is filed under the name uncultured fungus. RNAcentral's name for it is "LSU rRNA". The record is from RNAcentral. Lineage: Eukaryota; Fungi.
CAGUCGUACCUUCGAGUAAUCAGCCUUUUGGGUGUGAUUUUGUGGAGCGUGAAGAGUUAAACGCCUUCAUGCCCGCAUAUUCGUGCACUUUGGGUGUACUUGCCCGUAUGGUUGGUUAACAUCAAUUUUGAUGGUCAUAAAAUGACUGGAGGAAUGUAGCUUCGAUCUCGUAUUGAAGUGUUAUAGCCUUCGGUAGAUGUGAUGAUCGAGAUUGAGGAUUGCAACGGAUACCCUUCGGGGCUACCUGUCUGAUCUCUGAUCGUUGCUCUGGUGCCGAAAGCUUGCUUACGGUUAUCAAAGUCGAUGGUCAAUAGGUUAGAACGGGUUAAA